RNAcentral lists this ribosomal RNA (524 nucleotides) under uncultured bacterium. Its description in RNAcentral is "partial 16S ribosomal RNA". It matches the Rfam family "Bacterial small subunit ribosomal RNA", at positions 28 to 523 of the family's 1533-position model. The record is from RNAcentral.
GACGAACGCUGGCGGCGUGCCUAAUACAUGCAAGUCGAACGCUUCUUUUUCCACCGGAGCUUGCUCCACCGGAAAAAGAGGAGUGGCGAACGGGUGAGUAACACGUGGGUAACCUGCCCAUCAGAAGGGGAUAACACUUGGAAACAGGUGCUAAUACCGUAUAACAAUCGAAACCGCAGGGGUUUGAUUUGAAAGGCGCUUUUGGGUGUCGCUGAUGGAUGGACCCGCGGUGCAUUAGCUAGUUGGUGAGGUAACGGCUCACCAAGGCGACGAUGCAUAGACGACCUGAGAGGGUGAUCGGCCACAUUGGGACUGAGACACGGCCCAAAUUCCUACGGGAGGCAGCAGUAGGGAAUCUUCGGCAAUGGACGAAAGUCUGACCGAGCAACGCCGCGUGAGUGAAGAAGGUUCUCGGAUCGUAAAACUCUGUUGUUAGAGAAGAACAAGGAUGAGAGUAACUGUUCAUCCCUUGACGGUAUCUAACCAGAAAGCCACGGCUAACUACGUGCCAGCCGCCGCCGUAA